RNAcentral lists this transfer RNA (75 nucleotides) under bacterium. RNAcentral describes it as "tRNA-Arg". The stretch from base 10 to 71 matches the Rfam family "tRNA". Rfam says of the family: Transfer RNA (tRNA) molecules are approximately 80 nucleotides in length. Their secondary structure includes four short double-helical elements and three loops (D, anti-codon, and T loops). Further hydrogen bonds mediate the characteristic L-shaped molecular structure. tRNAs have two regions of fundamental functional importance: the anti-codon, which is responsible for specific mRNA codon recognition, and the 3' end, to which the tRNAs corresponding amino acid is attached (by aminoacyl-tRNA synthetases). tRNAs cope with the degeneracy of the genetic code in two manners: having more than one tRNA (with a specific anti-codon) for a particular amino acid; and 'wobble' base-pairing, i.e. permitting non-standard base-pairing at the 3rd anti-codon position. The record is from RNAcentral.
AGAGUCAUUGGGUUAAUGGUAGCACAGCGGUCUCCGAAACCGCUAGUAGGGGUUCAAAUCCUCUUGCCCCUGGCA